GAGGGUGUAGCUCAGUGGUCGAGUGUGUGCUUAGCACGCACGAGGUCCUGGGUUCAAUGCCCAGUACCUCCA
RNAcentral lists this transfer RNA (72 nucleotides) under Camelus bactrianus (Bactrian camel). It matches the Rfam family "tRNA". From Rfam's summary of the family: Transfer RNA (tRNA) molecules are approximately 80 nucleotides in length. Their secondary structure includes four short double-helical elements and three loops (D, anti-codon, and T loops). The record is from Rfam by way of RNAcentral. RNAcentral also lists the same sequence under 2 other names. Lineage: Eukaryota; Metazoa; Chordata; Mammalia; Artiodactyla; Camelidae.